Long non-coding RNA from Triticum aestivum (bread wheat), 1541 nucleotides. RefSeq lists it as uncharacterized. The record is from RefSeq and is a predicted model, not a curated record. The transcript has 5 exons. NCBI's taxonomy places the organism in Eukaryota, Viridiplantae, Streptophyta, Magnoliopsida, Poales, Poaceae.
AAAACUAGAAUGAACCCACGUCCUCCACCUUCUCCCACGACCCAAUCUCCAUCUACAGAUCUCCCCCUUCCAUUGGCGUCCCCCCAACGGCGGUCCCUCUAUCCCGCAUCAAGCACCACACCGGCUGCGACACCCGUGGAACACCCACCAUCUCCUCCUCCUCUCAUUGCCCUACCUCGCAGCCAGUGUCGCAUGUCCGUAGUCCUCACCCCCAGCAGCCGCCAGAUUGGUUCACCAUCCCGCCGCACCAGCCAUAGGCGUUGUUGUUGCCAGCCACCACCCCAAUCUGCUGCAUAUUGGUAGGCACAACCGUCUCCCUUUGGUUGAGUCCUUCAGCGGUCCGCCUACCUUGACACAGCCACCCGCUGGGCGAGCGAGAUCGUCAUGACUCUUUGGAUCGGAGGCAUGCGGUAUUGGAUGGAGGAUAUAUAACUACAUCUACAGUUGGUUCGUGAGAAAGGGGGAGCCUCCCGUGACAACCGACAGCAACGAAAAAAAGAUGGCAUUAGCCCAUUGCCUGAUGAAGAAGAUGAGAGUAGGGAAAGAGAUGAUGAUGAGAUGGAGGAGAGUCGUGCAGCGCCGAACAGGAAACCCUCCCCGCCACCAUUAGGGAGCUCUUGGUUGCACCGCAAGCUGCAAUACCAGUGAAAGAAAGAGCUUAUCACUGGAUGAUGUUUCAUGGUCCAAGAUUUUGAGCUCUGUUGCCUCCUCCUUUACGAACAUCUACAACAUAUCUGGUGAUAUGCCUCUACGGGUAGUAGUUAAUCAUUGAUGAGUUUUUACUUUCCAUGCCAUUCUUUGUCCCUUGUGCUAGUCAUGGAGUGGAGGGACAAUGAGAGAGGACGAGAAAGGGACAGAGAGGGAGAGACAUCAGGGAGGAGUGUGGUGGCCACAUAGGAAUAAACGGCUGUGUUCCUAGCUGGUAGAGAUGUGGUAUAUGUGCAAGGCAAUGCGGAGCUACUCAUGUGAUGGUCGGUGAGCCAAGGGAGCAGCUAGCCGUCCCAUCCCUUAAUGGCCCGUGGAGUCUGGUGGACAGAGCCCAUGGACAUGCCUUUUCCUUGGUGCGGGCAAGGCACACAUAACUCUGGGUGCUCCCAUGGUUGUUCCAGUUACUCAAGCGCAGCGCCGCCUGCUUUCAUGAGAUUUUCUCCACGGUCACGCUGCCUCUCUGUACCUGAAUCAUGAUGUGACUGCAGUACAACAAUGAGGCUUCAUUAAGUCGAGAAGGCUUUGAGUGAGCUCCGCACAGCUAUUGACUGAGUCUUUGGUCACUGUCAGGCCUCAGGAAGUGCAUACUGAAGAAGACAAGGAGCACAUGGGUUAGAGCAAUGUGUUUUCGAUGUCAAAACCAGAAUGCCAUGAGAGUUCUACAUGUGCUUGCGUGGGCCAUGGUUGUGUGUGUUUCUGGAGCGUGUGGGUUAUUUAAUGCGCUACUAUCAGCAAUGCGAGGCAUUGAUGAUGAAAUAGAAUUUUGAAUCCCAUCCGCCCCAUAUCUGAACUCAACAAAAGAAGAUAAGGUUGUGAAUCCUCUUUGGGGUUUA